AUUCAUAUAGUUUAAAAAAACAUUAUAUUUUCAUUGUAAAAUUAGAAUAAUUUCUUAUGAAUA
This 63-nucleotide transfer RNA is filed under the name Analophus parallelus. RNAcentral describes it as "tRNA-Glu". Lineage: Eukaryota; Metazoa; Arthropoda; Insecta; Coleoptera; Cerambycidae. The record is from RNAcentral.